AUGGGGAACUGCCUGCGCCCCAGCGCUGGCCUCAGUUGUACCUUCUGCGAGGCUUGUAGCCAGUCUGAGGAAUCCACCAUUCCAGAGCCUGCUGUGUUACAUCCCAGAGUGGCGGAGGUGCAGGACGUGCAGCCCGUAAAACCAAAGAGGCGCAAAGGUUUGGCUCGCCGUGUCAGGAGCUGGGUAGCCAAAAAAUGGAGACAAAAGAAAAGGUGCCCCAAUAAAAAUGAAGGUCCCGUUGAGGUCCUCCAGGACUGCGUCCAUGAAGACAUCAAGGACGAGGAGCUCCUGGCGGAGGCGUCAUGUGAGGAUCACCACCGUCCUGUUGAGGUCCUCCAGGACUGCGUCCAUGAAGACAUCGAGGACGAGGAGCCCCUGGCGGAUGCUGCACGUGAGGAUCACCACCGUCCUGUUGAGGUCCUCCAGGACUGCGUCCUUGAAGACAUCGAGGAUGAGGAGCCCCUGGAGUGGUCUGUGGGCUACUAUUACCAUUGUCCUGUUGAGGUCCCCCAGGACUGCAACCUUGAAGACACCGAGGAUGAGGAGCCCGUGGUGAGAUGCAUUUGUUCAUCUUGAGGAGAAAUGUCUUUUUCUGGGGCUUCUAGAAUAUCAAGUGAAUAUCAUUUUUGACUGCCAUUGUGAGUCAGACCUCAGUUGUCAUGGCCUCUAGCCACUAGCGACCAGUCACUGGAGUUUAUGACUAACUGAGGCGUGAUUGACGAUGUCAGUCAAAAGAUGGCAUAACUUACCAACUGUAAGUUGUAUAUUUCUCAGUAGCAACAUUUUCUUCCUGAAAAAUAAUUUUGUAUUUUCCAGCCAGCAUAGACACUUGCUAAAUAUUCCAAACCCACUGCAUUUUCAGUAAGCAUCCCCUAUGCUUCAUUUGGGGCCAGUGACUUCCUCAAUGUUUGACAUCUGGGUUAUUUUUGAGAGAGUCUCUCUGUGUCACCAGGGUACUGUGCAGUGGUGUGAUCUUGGAUCACUGCAAGCUCCACCUAUUGGCUUCAAGCAAUUCUACUGCCUCAGCCUCCCGAGUAGCUGGGACUACAGGCUAUACCACCACCACACCCAGCUUUUUUGUAGUUUUUAGUAUAGAUGGGGUUUCACCAUGUUGGCCAGGGUGGUCUUAAUAUCUUGACCUCAUGAUCUGCCCUUCUUAGCCUCCCAAAGUGCUGGAUUACAGGUGUGAGCCAACACGCCCCGCCCGCCAUUUGGUUUUUUGAUACCGCCAUGUAUCAGAAAAGACCUGUGCCAACAGGAUUCAGCAUGAUGUAAUCCUCACGGUGUUUCUUUUUCUCUUAUUGCAGCAGAGUACUGUGGACCGGGAUUACCACCGUACGUAUUCUUUUUCUCUUAAAUAGUUACUUAGAUGUAGUUGACAUGCAAACCAAUUCACCCAUUUAAAGGAGGUGAUUCAGUGUUUUUAUUACAUUUUCAGGGUUGUGCAACCAUUGUUACAUUCUAAUUAUAGAACCUCUUCAUUCUGCCCCAAGAAACCUUAUUAGUAGUGACUUCUCUGUUUUCCCGAACCCCUGCAGCCGUAAUCUACUUCCUGUUUCUGUAGUACGUUGCCUUUCCAUGUUAGCCAGUUCUUCAAAUUACUAUUUCACAGUGUUGAGGUUGCCCUAGCUAGGAAACCAAGGCUCUUUCAUUUUUUUCUGCCCCUCUUUGCCUUCGUUUAGCACCAGGGAGAAUAGUGUAGCAGUAGCUCAGUCCAUGUUUGUGAACCGCGCAGCUCCACACACUGCAGCCCCCGUCCACGUUUUCCAAAUCUUCUUGUCAGAUUCCUCAGCAGCACCAGUGCACUGACUGUCACUUUGUGUAUUUUUAGGUCCUGUUGAGGUCCUCCAGGACUGCGUCCUUGAAGACAUCGAGGACGAGGAGCCCCUGGUGAGAUGCAUUUGUUCAUCUUGAGGAGAAAUGUCUUUUUCUGGGGCUUCUAGAAUAUCAAGUGAAUAUCAUUUUUGACUGCCAUUGUGAAUCAGACCUCAGUUGUCAUGGCCUCUAGCCACUAGCGACCAGUCACUGGAGUUUAUGACCAACUGAGGCCUGAUUGACGAUGUCAGUCAAAAGAUGGCAUAACUUACCAACUGGUCCUGUGUAUAUUUCUCAGUAGCAACAUUUUCUUCCUGAAAAAUAAUUUUGUAUUUCCCAGCCAGCAUAGACCCUUGCUAAGUAUUCCAAACCCACUGCAUUUUCAGUAAGCAUCCCCUGUGCUUCAUUUGGGGCCAGUGACUUCCUCAGUGU
RNAcentral lists this long non-coding RNA (2247 nucleotides) under Callithrix jacchus (white-tufted-ear marmoset). RNAcentral describes it as "lncRNA (ENSCJAG00000084869.1)". Lineage: Eukaryota; Metazoa; Chordata; Mammalia; Primates; Cebidae. The record is from RNAcentral.